UGAGUGCUGUGGUUAUCUAUGCAUGAGUGCUGUGGUUAUCUAUGAAAGAUUUAAACUCAUGACUUAAAGUUGUUGAAACUAAUUUGUGCAUUUCAUAUUAAUUGUUGGAUUUAAUCUCACUUAAUUCAACGUGAUCAACUAUAAAGUAUAAACUAUGAAUAUCAGAUACGAUGGAUGGUUGAUCAAUAAUCACAUAAAUUGUCCUUAAAACCUGAUAUUAGACAGUCUUAAUUUGCUUCUGUCUACUUUGAAAUACUAGUUUUUGUUUUUUGUUAAUUACCGAAUUUUAUGCUAUGAAUUUUUUAGUACAAUAUUCUCUUUAUACUUCUUUUAGUUUCUAAACAAACAUAUAAAACAACUAACACAGAACCCAUAGAGAUUUCUGCCCAAAUAAUCCAAUCAAACAUGGAUGCCCUACCGGAAUAAUUACUGCCACCCACACACACAUGUGCAUGUAUUGUGUGUAUGUGUGUGUGUUUAAGAGAUGGGCUGAAGCACUUGGACUGACCAACUAAAGUACCACAUAAAUGUAUAAAAAUCAAAAAAACAAAAACCAAAAAACACAUUGGCAUCGUGAGUCUAUUUCACUUUAAUUGACCCAUAACAUGAUAAAAACAAUGAUAAAAAGAGUUUGUAGAUCUUCAAAAUAUAUCAUAUAUGCUACCAUAUUCUAGGUUUUCUUCUUUGUUAACAUGCUGGCUUAACAGACACAGGACACUUGAUGCCGGUUGACAUGGAGGAUUUGGGUUUGUUCUUGUUGAUGAAGAUGAAGAAUUAGGUUUCUUUUUGUCUACUACUGAAAGGUAAAAAAAUGGGAUAUGUUUCUGCCAAGAAACAUAGCCCUUAAGUAUCUCUCUUUAAAGAGAAAAAAAAGCUCAGAAGGGAUAGACAAGGAAGGAGAACGUGAGUUGGGUGGGAACGAAGAAAGAUAGUGAAAAGACCUUUAAUCAAUUUACAGUGAUCUAAGGUCCACACGACAACAAAAGGUAAGGAGAUAGAAGAUGUGGUUGGGUCUUACAAGGUCAAGAAUAGGUCUUACAAGGUCAAGAAAAUCAAAUCUACAAGAAGAAAAAAAAGCAACAAGUCAAAAAAGAAACAAGAAUCAAAACGAGAAUUAUAGAGGAAAGGUUGAUUAGGGUGAAAGCUCAGGUAAGGAUAGCACCGAAUUUAGAACAAACAAACAGCCACAAUCACAACGUUUUCGUCCUCCUCUUCGUCUUUCUCCUCUCUCGCAACAACACAAUCAUCAUCAACGACCUCGUUCAUUGUAAUUGAAACUUCACUUUCUUCUUCUUGCAUAUAUCUAUACACACAAAUAUAUGUAAUUCAGAUUAAUGAUUUGUACGAGGAUUAAGAUAGGAUGAUUUCACAAGUGCUGUUCGUCGAAUAUUGGUUUUCUUACCCGAGAACGAUGUUGGAAACGUUUGUUCCUUUUGCGGUCUGAAAAACCUAGAGAGAGAAAGAGGGGAUUUAAUUUGAGAGAGAGAGAGAGAGAGAGAGAGAGAGAGAGAGAGAGAGAGAGAUGUAGACUUUUAGAAAGAGAGGAUUAUAUAAGAAGAGUGGGAGGAUUCAUGUGUGAAUACCCUGAUUAUGUAAAACCUGACAUUGACAGGUCCAAAAGGCCCAGAAGAAGAAUUUGGUAAAUGAUGCUUUUCCCCAAGGGGCCUAAGUCAGCCAUAUUGAGGAAUGGGGUGUGUUAUAAGGUUAAAGGAUGUCCUACAUUUUUUUACGUUUUUUUACGGUGGAUAUAUAAAUUCUUAGUGAUACUUUUACAAAAUUUCCCGUUUUUUUAAAAUGGUGAUAGGUGGUGUUGUUAAAAAUAUAUUAAAGGUUUACCGUAAGAUUAAUAUUGAAAGGUUUUUCUAUAUUUAAGGUACAAGAUUAUAAUUUAU
Molecule: long non-coding RNA, 1892 nt
Filed under: Lactuca sativa (garden lettuce)
Lineage: Eukaryota; Viridiplantae; Streptophyta; Magnoliopsida; Asterales; Asteraceae
Description: long non-coding RNA (LSAT_LNC006955)
Source: RNAcentral